RNA transcript from Myxocyprinus asiaticus (Chinese sucker), 5528 nucleotides. It is a transcript of the gene named DNA-binding protein SATB1-like, with no coding region annotated. The transcript has 14 exons. The record is from RefSeq and is a predicted model, not a curated record. Lineage: Eukaryota; Metazoa; Chordata; Actinopteri; Cypriniformes; Catostomidae.
UUUCGAGUCCAUCCUCCUUCAGGACAUCGACCGACGCGGGAGGACUCGAAAUCCGCCUUGAAUCGCGUCGUUUCGGAGGUUUAAUUCGCCAGUAGAGAUGAGGAACAGGCAGUGCGCGGUGAGGGGAGGGAUGAGUCAAUGCAACUAAUAAUUUAAUGGAGAGAGAGAGAGAGAGAGAGAGAGAGAGAGAGAGAGAGAGAGAGAGAGAGAGAGAGAGCAGAACAGAAGGGAAACAGAAAGAAACGGACCGAACGCGAAUUGUUUGAAUGGAACAAAUGGAACAAGCGCCGGAUACAUUAUAGCGCUUAUUAAAGGCAGGAAUGCGCGGAAUGCUUUGAUGUUGCGUUCGACGUUCGAAAGUGUAUCGCGGACUUUUAAAGCUGUUUUCGGGGAUCCGCAUAUCGGCUUGAGAUGAGAAGGCAGAUCGCCGUGGCUUCGGUGCUGCUGUUAGGACAGAUGAGUGGCUAUUUGUGUGCGUUUUGUUUUCAGAAAGGCUCGUAGUGUUUAAGCAGAAUGGGAUAUGUCGGCAAGGCGGAUGGUUACUUUUAUUUUUGACGGUUAUUUUGAUCACACAACGCACUAACGUCCCGGUGGAUGUACCCCAGUUGUCGCCUAUAAACUCUAUUGAACUCUAUAGACUUAUUGGAGGUCGGUGCAAAUAAGGUUCAUUUCAAGCAUCUACAUUUUUCUUUAGGUUUCUUUAGAUUUAAAGUAAUAAAAUAGGCAUUGCGGUUCAUAAAUAUAGUUUUAAGUCUAUUAUAUGCUGAAAUGAAUGAAUAUAUAAGAUCUUUGGUGUGGAAGAUAUGGAAAUGUUGUAUGUUUUAGAAUAGAAGAGUUGUCAUUUUUCAUCACCGGAGGAGUGUUGACACAAGACUGAUAUUAGAGGGAAUAAAAGUGAAGUUUUUCCUUCUCCUGCCAAAACUUGAAGGCGCUGUUCAUCUAGAACUCCUUAUAUGCACGUCUUAAAGUGGUGACCGUGAGUAGUGGUGCUGAGAACCAUGGAGCACCUCAGCGAGUCAUGCCUGGGGAAGGAGAACUGUGAGAUGGUUAACAGUAUGAACGACACCAAGGCCCCUCCAGCCAAGCUGGCCCGACUAGAACAGAACGGAAGCCCACUAGGAAGGUCUCGUCUAGGCAGCACUGGAGCUAAACUCUCGGGAGUGCCCUUCAAACCGUCUGGACAUCACCUGAAAAACUGCCACAAGAGGGGUAACAUGCUGCCAGUGUUUUGCGUUGUGGAGCAUUACGAGAGCCCCAUCGAAUUCGACAGCAAAGAGGAACAUGCUGAGUUCGUGCUGGUCCGAAAGGACAUGCUUUUCAAUCAGUUGAUCGAGAUGGCCCUGCUCUCGCUGGGUUACUCGCACAGUUCGGCUGCACAGGCUAAAGGUUUGAUUCAGGUGGGCAAGUGGAACCCCGUGCCCCUCUCCUACGUGACGGAUGCGCCCGACGCCACAGUGGCGGACAUGCUACAGGAUGUGUACCAUGUGGUCACGCUGAAAAUCCAGCUUCACAGCUGUCCUAAACUGGAAGACCUUCCGCCAGAGCAGUGGACCCACUCUACAGUAAGAAAUGCCCUCAAGGAGUUACUCAAAGACAUGAACCAGAGCUCUCUGGCUAAAGAAUGUCCUUUAUCACAGAGUAUGAUUUCUUCAAUUGUUAACAGCACUUACUAUGCAAAUGUUUCUGCUGCGAAGUGUCAAGAAUUUGGACGCUGGUAUAAACAUUUCAAGAAGACAAAAGAUAUGAUAGUCGUGCGCCAGCCCUCCCAGCUGGAGGGAUACCUGGGGUCAUGUGUCCUGCACGACAGUCCACGUGCCACCACGUUAGCUGAGAUGGACGGCCUCUCUGAUCUUUCUCCACCCGGAACCAACCACCUCAGCUUCAGUCAGCAGCCCAUCCCGGGCAGCACAGCGGAACAGCCCCCGUCCCCAGUUCCCAUGUCCCACAAUAGUCAGGCCCCUGGGCGGGCUCAGCUCCCGGGCCUCCACCCUGGCCUGGUGUCCACUCCCAUCAGCCCUCAACUGGUGAACCAGCAGAUCGUCAUGGCUCAGAUUCUCAACCAGCAGUACGCCGUUAACCGCCUCCUCGCCCAACAGUCGCUGAGUCAGCAGUACCUAAACCACCCGCCCGUCAACCGUGCGCUCAACAAACCGCUCGACGCGCAGGUGUCCACCAACGCAGAAGUCUCUUCGGAGAUCUACCAGUGGGUGAGAGACGAGCUGAAGAGGGCGGGCAUCUCGCAGGCGGUAUUCGCCCGGGUCGCCUUCAACAGGACGCAGGGUCUUCUCUCCGAGAUUCUCAGAAAAGAAGAGGACCCCAAGACAGCGUCUCAGUCUCUCCUCGUCAACCUGCGAGCGAUGCAGAACUUCCUGCAGCUUCCGGAGGCAGAGCGAGAUCGCAUCUACCAAGACGAGAGGGAGCGUAGCUUGACCGCAGCCUCUGCGAUGGGCCCUGCGCCCCUCAUUAGCACCCCUCCCAGUCGCCCUGUCCAGCCCAGAAGAGAAGAGUGUAACAAUGUGAGACCAGAGGACUGGAAUCCAAGAAUUCCUGUGGGCAUCUCUCCCGUGAAGCCCAGCCCUCUGUCCUCUGAGUGGAACGGGAAGUCUGAGAAUUGUGUGUUAAACAUCAACUCGUCAAUCUACGAUGAAAUCCAGCAGGAGAUGAAGAGGGCCAAAGUGUCCCAGGCCAUGUUUGCCAAGGUUGCCGCCUCAAAGAGCCAGGGCUGGCUCUGUGAACUCCUGCGCUGGAAGGAAGACCCAUCCCCGGAGAACCGCACACUCUGGGAGAACCUUUCCAUGAUCCGUCGGUUUCUCAGUCUGUCCCAAUCAGAACGGGAUGCCAUAUACGAGCAGGAGAGCAACGGAGGACAGCAGCAUCACGCAGACAGACCCGCUCACCUACUGCACAUGCCCACAGACCCCCUGCAGGCUCAUCAACAGCCCUCCUCUCAACUCCAGGCACCCCUGCCCCUGCCACACCCCUCCCAGCCGCCUCUGUCCCAGCAGCCCUUACAACAGCAACAACAGCAGCAGAUGGGACCGAGACUCCCCCCUCGACAGCCGUCCACAGCUUCUCCAGCAGAAUCUGAGGAUGACAACCGCUGCAAGAGUCGCCAGGGCAACCGCAUCUCCAUGGAGGCGCUGGGCAUCCUGCAGAGCUUCAUCCAGGACGUGGGGCUGUAUCCAGAUGAGGAGGCAAUCCACACCCUCUCGGCCCAGCUAGACCUGCCCAAACACACCAUCAUCAAGUUCUUCCAAAAUCAGCGCUUCUAUAUCAAUCACGCCGGCAAGCUGAAAGAAGCGUCCAUUGGGUUCCCCUCCAACAACAACAACAAAGACGAGGGCCUGACGGACUUCAAAGAGGGCGAAUUGUUGACGGAGCUCAACGAGAGCGUGCAGACCAACAGCACAAUGUUCUCUAUUAAAAUCGAAGAGCACCUGGCACCCGAAAUGCACACACUGGGCCAGGCCCAAACUGAGCAGGAGGCUAAAUAGUGACGCUGGCGUCGUGGAUGUCUUUUUUGUGUUAAAAUCUUAUUCUCAUAUUUCUCUCGUUCUCACUGUCUCUGUUCCAUGAGCGAACCUGUAAGACUUUGUACACAAGACUGAAUAAUGCAAAGAGAUGUAGACAAAGGCCUUAAUGAUGAGGUACUGGGUCGAAACACUGCUGGUUAAUGAGUUAUUCUCUUUGAAAUAAAAGAAGAAUCGCUACUUCUCGGGAUCCCCACGACCCGCAGGUAAACCGGGGAAUACGGCUCAAUCUUAUUAUUUGGUUUGAAGAAAUAUAGAUAAUAUAUAUAAAAUAUAUACUGUAUAUAUAUAUAUAUAUAUAUAUAUAUAUAUAUAUAUAUAUAUAUAUAUAUAUAUAUAUAUAUAUAUAUAUAUAUAUAGACACAUAUUAAUUGUAAAAAAUAUACAGUCUUAUAUAUACUAUGCCAACAAAUGCCUUGUACUAUAUAUGGCACUGCCGAUGUUAGAUUAUUUUGCAAAACUUUGGUCAAUGUAAAAUUCUGGAUUUCCAUAGUUUGAAAUGUGAAUCACAACCUCAUUUUCAUUGUUUUUUGGCAUCGUCCUGCAUUAUUUAUUUUUCGUUUCACGCUGCGUUCCGAUGUAAUUACAUUUUUCCAACAUUUUACCAUCACCUGACGCUUUUGUUUUACUGAUCUUUUUCUAUUUAUAAAUGUAAUUUUGAUGGGCAGUAAAAUCAGAAAGUGUCUUAAGCGUUUUAAAUGGAAAUUGUGCUUUAACAGUUGCCUAAAAAAAGUGCUGUAUGUCAAGCAACUCGUGCGAGCUUCACAAUUAAUGUUGUAUGCAAUUUUUACUAUCAUGCAAAUAAGCUUAGGUAAAACGACUAACCUAUAGAUCACCUUAGAGAUGAAAACAUAUGCAAUUUGUGUGAAAUCGAUGUUUUCAAUGUGUCUUCCUUUGGUUAAUGAUCCAAUUCAAAGCUAUUCCUGUAUAAAUAUGAUGUAUAAAAAAGUAUUUCUUUUUUAUGAGUUUAUUGCAAUGAGAACACCAGUUAUUUUGUUACGACUGACUGUUUUAUAAGUGUUUCUCCGUUUCUUUAUGCAGCAAUGUUCUAACUAGGAGUGGUUACUGAUUGUUAAUGACACAAUUAAACUGUUUGUAUUGUACUCCCGAAUCUUUGCGUUAAUGUGAUGAUGCAUUAAAGAUAUCCACAGCGUAGGCUGGAUUUGAAAACGCCAGCCGAGAAGUUCUUGUUGGUCUUUCCAGUAUUAAAUAAGGAAUACUCUCCUGGGUGGGGGGCUGGAUAAAGUCAUAUUAAAAGCACAUUUGAGGGUAAAUAGACGGCGGGUGUUAAGGCUUUGUUAAUGAGAUGAUCUGCAGGGAUUGGAGGUGUAAAACUGUGAAGGUGUGUUGACUUCUCAGUGAAUUCCAGGUAAAGAGCUGCAUAUGGAAAAGUUCUUGCAGACUAACACCCAGAUGGAGGUAAAACAUCAGUGACCUCUAUGUAAUCACAAAUUUAUUUUCCCCUAAACAUACAGUAUUAGACCCAAAACAUCACAAAUGUUUUUUGCAGACAUUUUUAAUGGAUGACUAAUGAAAAAAAAUCACAUGAAAGUAUAUUCUUUCAAGAGUGAAAUAUUUAAUGCUGACUAGAAGAGGAGGGUAAGUUGUGCAAGAUUUUUGUUGUUGUUUAAAUGCAAAUCAAGGAUCGCUCUAAACUGUUUAAUAUAAAUUCAUCUUUUGCAUAUACUAUAUUUACAUGAAAAAAGGCCAUUGCUUUGGCAAAACAAAUUAUACAUAUGUAUAUAUGCAUAUAUAUGCAUGAGGCAGGAGAAAGGAUACAUGCAAGUUUGUACAUAACUAUAAGAUAUAUGAAACAUAAAUACAUUACUGCAGGUAUGCAGAUUGAUUAUUUCAGCAAAAAAAAAAAAAAAAAAAAAAUACAAUUAUUGUGAAAAAAAAGUGGGGAUGCAACAUGAAAAGUUUUUGUUUGUGAUGUUUAAUAUUUUAAUGUGUAUACUAACAAGUAAAAAAAUAAAAUAAUAAAAAAAAUAAAAAAAA